UGAAAUUAGGUUUGAAACAAUUACGAAAUGAAGGUUAUACGAUUAGUAUGUAUAUUGUAUUAUCAAUUUGGGAAUCAAAUGAUCUAUACAUAUUAACCACUAAAAUUUGUGAAGGCUAGAACGAAUGUUUUAUCUCGAAAUCUCAGAACAUGAUUAAUGAGAUGUUCUUAGAGUGGAGUUUUUACGGGAAUAUAAAAAACUGUUUCUUAACUUUUUUUUCUUAACUUUUAACUAAAAAAAAGCUAAGAACCGGCUCUUAAAUAUCUUAUUUAAGAGCUGGUUCUUAGCUUUUUAGGUUAAUAGUUAAAGAAAUAGUUUAUUAUAUUCCGCUAAAAACCCCACUCUAAGAACCUCCAUUAAUCAUGCUCUCAGGACCGGCUCUGUUUAUUAGUUACAAACUUUGAAUUUUUGGGGUUUCUUAUAACGCAAGUUACAUCUUUAAUGUGAUUAUUUGGUUUUGAUUUUUGCUAAACUUAGUUCUACGCAUGAUUCUUGGCUUUUUUUUGAUGAAGCUGGUAAGCUGGAGAACAACAAAAUACCUUGGAGAGGAGAUUCAGGUCUUAAAGAUGGAAGUGAAGCGAGUCUUGACCUUUCCAAAGGUUUAUACGAUGCUGGAGAUCACAUGAAGUUUGGCUUCCCUAUGGCUUUCACUGCCACUCUUCUCUCCUGGUCCAUUCUCGAGUACGGCGACCACAUGGACUCCCUCGACCAACUUGAUCCUGCUAAAGACUCUCUAAAGUGGACCACCGAUUUCCUCAUCAAUGCCCAUCCUUCUCCAAACGUCCUCUACAUUCAGGUACAAUGAUCAAGAUGAUGAAUCUUUCAUAACUUGUCACGUUUCAAAACCAUUAGAAUACUCAUUUUCAAGAUCGGAUUUGGACAUAUCCCAGUGAAACAUAGGAUUUGGGUCUUAAAUUUUUUUGGAGGUUAUAUAUAUAGUUAUAGAAAUUAUAUUGAAAAAAAUUGUUAGUUUUUAAUAAAAAUAUUUAUGGCCUCUAAAAUCAUAGAUCCGGCCAUUUUCAUAUUAUUCAUUUUUUAUUAAGGUGGGAGAUCCGGAGACUGAUCAUAAAUGUUGGGAUAGGCCAGAAACAAUGUCAAGAAAGAGAACUCUCACCAAGAUUGAUGCAGAUACUCCAGGGACUGAGGUUGCUGCAGAAACAGCAGCAGCCAUGGCUGCAGCAUCUCUAGUCUUUAAAGAAAGUGAUACCAAAUAUUCAGGCACGCUUCUCAAACACGCCAAGCAGUUGUUCGAUUUCGCCGAUAACAACAGGGCAUCUUACAGUGUCAACAUACCUGAGGUUCAGAGUUAUUACAACUCCACAGGCUACGGAGAUGAGCUUCUUUGGGCAGCUUCAUGGUUGUACCAUGCGACAGAGGACAAAACAUACCUCGACUUUGUGUCUAAAAAUGGAGAUGAGUUUGGAAAUUUUGGAAGUCCGACAUGGUUUAGUUGGGACAACAAGCUUCCAGGAACACACGUAUUAGAGAUAAUGCACUUUCUUAUAAAUCAUUAUGUUCUUACAUAACAUUUACUGAUUUAUAUAUACCGUUGCAGGUACUAUUAUCAAGAUUAACCUUCUUCAAAAAGGGCCUAUCAGGAAGCAAAGGACUUGAAGGUUAUAAAGAAACAGCAGAAGCUGUCAUGUGUGGGCUCAUACCAGACUCUCCAACAGCUACAUCUAGUAGAACUGAUGGUAUAAUCUCUCUUACAUCUCUCAUUAUAUCAUACUUUCACUCAUGAUGUAGAAUUUCAUAUAAUUCUCUGAAUAUUUGUUGAUUUUUUUUUUCAAGGUGGUCUUAUAUGGGUUGCUGAAUGGAAUGCACUGCAACAUCCUGUGUCCUCAGCAUUUUUAGCCACACUUUACAGUGACUACAUGCUCACAUCCGGUGUUGAUAAACUAUCUUGUGGUGACACAUCCUUUAAACCAUCAGAUCUCAGAAAAUUCGCCAGAUCCCAGGUUCUUUAUAAUAUUCCAUUAAGCUAAACUCAUAACCUCUUAGAUAUACUAUAUAGUUUCAUAUUUACACAUUGCAGGCUGAUUACAUGCUAGGGAAGAAUCCAGAGACAAUGAGCUAUUUGGUGGGUUAUGGUGAUAAAUAUCCAGAGUUUGUGCAUCAUCGAGGAGCUUCGAUACCAGGUGAUGCAAACACAGGAUGUAAAGAUGGAUUCAAGUGGCUUAACUCGGAGGAACCGAACCCUAACGUGGCUUAUGGUGCACUUGUUGGUGGACCGUUUCUGAACGAGACGUUUAUUGAUGCGAGGAACAAUUCAAUGCAGAAUGAGCCGAGUACUUAUAACAGUGCGCUUGUGGUUGGUCUUUUGUCUAGUUUGGUUACUAGAUCUUCAUCGGUAGAAUCUUUUAAAUGAGAUCUUUAUUGAAGUUGUUUUAAUUAGAAUCACAUUAAGACAUCUUAUUUGUUUUAUUCUAUCUAUGUAUGUAUAUGUACGAACAUGGUUGAAUAAUGUAUGUGGUUUUGUAUAGCAUAUGGUAUAAUGGUAAAUGUCUCCUGUUUGUUCACUGUUCUUCUUCUUCGGAACAUGUUCUACCAGACUAAAAAAGGGAAAGCAAAAAAAAAACUCCGUUGCGGGGACUCGAACCCGGGUCUCUCGGGUGAGAGCCGAGUAUCCUGACCAGCUAGACUACAACGGAUAGGUGAACAUUGGGUGCGUUUCUACCAUCAUCAAUAUAAUCGAUGAAUUGACAUCAAAGAAAAUGUCAAGCAUACACAAUCAGUUUUUUUUCAUAUCAAUAGAUGAAUGAUCAAAACAAUAAGCCAUGGUUUCAGUCUAAAUUCUAAAAGAAUAAAAUCACUGAAUCAUCAUAUUUAUUACUUAUUGGUGUGUUUCUUACAGUGUGCAAAUUAAAAAAAAAUAUUUAGAACCAAAUUCAAAUGAUAUGUCUGCUUGUUUUUUCAUGAGAAAAGCAAAAAACUCACAGUGCCACAAAAAAAAGAAGUGAAAUAUAUAAAAAACAUGACAAGGGUUUCGCACAUAACGAAAAGACUUUAUGACUUCACUCGGCUCUAGACUGACCAGCACGAGAAGAGAGGAUGAUACCAACAAUGAGACCGUACAGCGCAAGUGCUUCAGCAAAGAUGAGAAUCAGAAUCAUUCCCACAAACAGCUUUGGCUGUUGUGCAUUCGCUCUGCAACACACAAAGACCAAACAUAAAAGUAAAAAAAAAGAUUCAACCUUUUAAGCUCUAAACAACAUCUCUAACACGAAAGAUCCAAUCUUUUUCUGAACUAGUUUGUUUCAAUUACCUAACACCGGCAUCGCCGACGAUGCCAAUAGCCAUACCGGCGGAGAGACCGGCGAGACCACAAGCGAGACCGGAAGAGAGAUGAGCGUAGCCGUCGAAGAGAUAGUAAGACUUGGCCUUUGGGUUGAUUCCAGUACUGAUGAUGACAGCAAUGAUGAGACCGUAGAUACCUAACACACCAGCCAUAACGACCGGAACAAUCGAUUUCAUUACAAGCUCUGGUCUCAUCACACCCAUCGACGCCACACCGACCCCGCUCUUUGCUGUCCCGUACGCUGCUCCCAUACCUGACAAAAAACGGAUGAGAUCAAAAACCCAAACCGUGGAUUCAUUCAAUUAGAGAUGUGCUGAAAGAAGGAUUUGGUGUUACAGGAGAAAACGAGAGCGGCGGCGGCGCCGAGGAAUCCGAAGAAGGGAGCAGUUUCAUCGCCGCUGAAACCUGAAGCCAUCGCUCGUCGUGAAUUGUGCGUCUCUUCAUUUAUUUAUUUUAUUUUUAAUUUCAUUCGUGAAAUUAGGUUUGAAACAAUUACGAAAUGAAGGUUAUACGAUUAGUAUGUAUAUUGUAUUAUCAAUUUGGGAAUCAAAUGAUCUAUACAUAUUAACCACUAAAAUUUGUGAAGGCUAGAACGAAUGUUUUAUCUCGAAAUCUCAGAACAUGAUUAAUGAGAUGUUCUUAGAGUGGAGUUUUUACGGGAAUAUAAAAAACUGUUUCUUAACUUUUUUUUCUUAACUUUUAACUAAAAAAAAGCUAAGAACCGGCUCUUAAAUAUCUUAUUUAAGAGCUGGUUCUUAGCUUUUUAGGUUAAUAGUUAAAGAAAUAGUUUAUUAUAUUCCGCUAAAAACCCCACUCUAAGAACCUCCAUUAAUCAUGCUCUCAGGACCGGCUCUGUUUAUUAGUUACAAACUUUGAAUUUUUGGGGUUUCUUAUAACGCAAGUUACAUCUUUAAUGUGAUUAUUUGGUUUUGAUUUUUGCUAAACUUAGUUCUACGCAUGAUUCUUGGCUUUUUUUUGAUGAAGCUGGUAAGCUGGAGAACAACAAAAUACCUUGGAGAGGAGAUUCAGGUCUUAAAGAUGGAAGUGAAGCGAGUCUUGACCUUUCCAAAGGUUUAUACGAUGCUGGAGAUCACAUGAAGUUUGGCUUCCCUAUGGCUUUCACUGCCACUCUUCU
Molecule: long non-coding RNA, 4433 nt
Filed under: Brassica napus (rape)
Lineage: Eukaryota; Viridiplantae; Streptophyta; Magnoliopsida; Brassicales; Brassicaceae
Description: long non-coding RNA (BNAP_LNC005985)
Source: RNAcentral